RNAcentral lists this long non-coding RNA (245 nucleotides) under Penaeus japonicus. RNAcentral describes it as "uncharacterized LOC122243238". Lineage: Eukaryota; Metazoa; Arthropoda; Malacostraca; Decapoda; Penaeidae. The record is from RNAcentral.
CAGUCACGAUCUCGACCUGGAGGCGCCUCAGGAGACGCGCCAGCGCCGAGAGUGGCAGCUCCAGCAUGGAGUCCUCUGAGGAAAUGACGACCGCCGCUCCCUGAAGGACUCUGACGUGAUGGCACUGACCUUGGCUUGGAUCCCUGACCUUCACUUGACGCUCCUAAUCAUUUCAAGAUGUUUUGGUUAACGUUUUCGACAAUAAAGCAUCUCAGUAAUUAAAGAAAAUUAAAUCAUUUAGCACA